RNAcentral lists this long non-coding RNA (1028 nucleotides) under Manihot esculenta (cassava). RNAcentral describes it as "long non-coding RNA (MESC_LNC000983)". Lineage: Eukaryota; Viridiplantae; Streptophyta; Magnoliopsida; Malpighiales; Euphorbiaceae. The record is from RNAcentral.
UAUGCAUGUUUUAGAAGGGUUAAAUGCAUGUGUUGAGGUCUGAACAGGUGAUGGAGGGACUGGCAGGCGUCCUUGUGCACGAAACUGAGUUCUGGCUAAACUCAGGUUCGGCCCCCGAAAGUCCAAGUUAGGCCGCCGAACAUGCCUGACUUUCGUCUCUGGAGGAGACAUUCGGCCGCCGAAGGUGCUGCCGAAGGUGCCCUGUCCAGCCUUCCUUUGCUUGUUUUGCAUGCAUGUUUUGUGAUGUUUUAGAGGGUUUUUGGAGAGAUGUUCAUAGUUAUGUUAGAGUAUGUUUGGUACCUCAUUUACGUCCAUCUGUGUAGGAUUAGACCGAGGAACCGAGGAGGCUCCAGAGUUAGAGUUGGCCCAGAGUUAGCCAGCAUUGGCUAGAGGUGAGUGGAACUAAACUACAUAUUUUCUCUUGAGAAAUGACACGAUUCUAGCAUGAUCCAUGCAUCAUAAACUGCCAUGUUAUGUAUUAGGUUGUAUUGCAUUAGACUUCACGACGAUGAUGCAUUGCAUAUACGUUGUUGUUUAUGUGGAUGAAUGUUGGAUGAUCCUUAGCCCUUGACAGAGAGCAGAUAUAGAUAUAUGGCAUGAGAUAGCCAUACCAGGUCGCCCCUGGAUAGUCCAGGUCGCUCCUGGUACUAUGAGUGAGACAGCUGGGCUGUCAAAUCAGAGUUAAGUGUAGACCAGGUGAGACCUCGUCUCCUUGGCACAGUUGGUCAUGUUAUGAUAUCAGAGAGAUAAGUGUAGACCAGGUGAUGACAUAGUCUCCUUGGCACAGUUGGCAUUAUUAUAACAUGUAGUUAAGGGUUAUUGGUGACAAAUUCAUCCUUGAGAUGAUAUGUUUGUGAUGUGAUGCAUUUCAUGAGAGAGCAUGUAAUGAAUGAACUGUUUUUAUUGUUCCUCCUCACUGGGCUGUAGUAGCUCAUCCCACUCCCUUAACCCCAGUUUUGCAGGUUCUGAGAUAGCUAUGGGAAGUUAAAGUCAGCAAGAGUACAGAGGGAAGAUAUGCAUGAAUGUAU